This 611-nucleotide long non-coding RNA is filed under the name Bos taurus (domestic cattle). RNAcentral's name for it is "long non-coding RNA NONBTAT007343". Lineage: Eukaryota; Metazoa; Chordata; Mammalia; Artiodactyla; Bovidae. The record is from RNAcentral.
GAAGAGAAGUUGGGUUUUAGACCAUCCAUUCCUGUCAGUGAGUCACAAGACAGAACCUUUGAGGGUUUAUGUAUUUUUUAGGGUAAACUUGGUACUAGCUGCACUGACGUAACGUUGCCGACACUCGGGGGCUGGAGAGAGGUGACUGAAUAACUUCUUGUGCAUGUGUGUUUGCAUUUCUUGUGGAGACCAUCUUUUUUGUUCAUUUUCCUUCUAGUACUGUGACUGCUGUCGUUUCUCCUGCUAAGAGUAAAGGAGUCUUUUACUUAGUGCAUCGGUCAUCCUUCAUUUUUUGAGCCUUUGUCUCCUCUUACUCCCUACUUUUUUUUUGAAAAAGUAAAGGACUAGUGCAAUUCUCAGUGCUGUCAGACUUAUUUAGUAAAGUCAUUUUCAAAACAGAGAAAACCUCUUAUUCAGUAGCCAUUCCGUGUAUUUUCAAGGCUUUAUUCCCGGUAGGAUUAUUCUGUUUGCUGAUUAUUGAAAACCAGUAGCAGUGUAUUUUCACCAUAUCUGGAAAUAUAGACAGCUCACCAAGAAGAAAAAAAAAUGUGAGCAGCUACUGGGACGUGUUUCCUCUUGUACAAAAUAAUACAAAAGAACCUUGUUUGAAA